UACGUAGGGUGCGAGCGUUGUUCGGAAUCACUGGGCGUAAAGGGCGUGUAGGCGGUCAAGUAAGUGGAAUGUGAAAGCCCCCGGCUUACCCGGGGAUCUGCAUCCCAAACUGCUUGGCUUGAGUACGGGAGAGGAUAGGGGAAUUCCUGGUGUAGCGGUGAAAUGCGUAGAUAUCAGGAGGAACACCGGUGGCGAAGGCGGCUUUCUGGACAGAAACUGACGCUGAGGCGCGAAAGCUAGGGGAGCAAACAGG
RNAcentral lists this ribosomal RNA (253 nucleotides) under uncultured bacterium. RNAcentral describes it as "partial 16S ribosomal RNA". It matches the Rfam family "Bacterial small subunit ribosomal RNA", at positions 524 to 776 of the family's 1533-position model. The record is from RNAcentral.